Molecule: small RNA, 629 nt
Filed under: Pongo abelii (Sumatran orangutan)
Lineage: Eukaryota; Metazoa; Chordata; Mammalia; Primates; Hominidae
Description: retained intron
Source: RNAcentral
ACUUCCGGUGGGAGAGUCCCAAACGGCCAGCGGCUGGGAAUUUGCGGUUCUAGCAUUGAAAAGAAAAGCUUCACAGCCUGGAAUGAAACGAAACUGAAUGUCCUUGAAACCAGUUGACGGAGGAGCAAGCUUAAAAGACUAUGACUUCAGUCAGAUGAUUGGAUUUUAACCUUGGCAACGUGGCCUUUUAACAUGCCAAACUCUUGAGUAAACCUGUACAAGGAGAAUGUAUGACUUACGUCCUCCCAGUGCUAUGGUUUAAAGACCCUUUAAGACUUAGAGGCAGGAUAAUAUGCUCCAACGUUACGACAUUAAAGGUGUGAAGGAUAUGUGCAAGAUAAAGCAGCCAGGGAUUUAAGUCUGGCAACAGUUGGACUGCUGGAUUUUCAGAGAAGCGUUCCCCAAAGCAAAUUAUGGUGCUAAUUUCCAAUGUUCCAUAAGCAUGGCAAGAAAAAUGGGAAGUUCUCGGUAAGGUAUAUAGUAUUAUUUCUAGAAAUAAAUAUGAACCAAUCCAAGAUUGAUUUUUUGUUUGUUUAAUCCUGGCAGUAUUCUGAACUAAAUCGUAUUCAUUCUUCCCUUUACUUUCCAGACUUUUUUAUUUUAUUUAUUUAUUUAUUUUUUGAGACAGA